This 40551-nucleotide long non-coding RNA is filed under the name Malus domestica (apple). Its description in RNAcentral is "long non-coding RNA (MDOM_LNC015618)". The record is from RNAcentral. Lineage: Eukaryota; Viridiplantae; Streptophyta; Magnoliopsida; Rosales; Rosaceae.
AAGGAAAGAAGGUAAUCGAUCACGAUUUUGAAACCAUAAUUGAAGAGUCCGAGAAGCGAAUUAAACAUCUUCCUUGGCCUAGGGAGAUGAAAGCUCGCCUCAAGCAUUUCUGAAAUAAAGUAGAACCAAACUUUCUCUGCUACCUCCAUAAGAGCCAUUAAUUAAAGUUAGACGAAAUCGCCACCCACAAUUUCUCGAUGAAGCUUUGGAAUACAUACAGGAGUUUCACAAUAAGCAUUCGGCUAAUGACUUGUACGGCCUGCCAAAAACAUGACAAGAGUCUCUUGAUCUGGCGUUAACCUGCUCCGAUGCCGAACAGAUUAUCCAAGAGUGGUUGGAUAUGGGAAUGAAGGCUAGGUUCCAACAUAUACGCGAGGCCCGAGUUCUCGGUUUUGAGGUAGAACCAUAUACUGAUAUUGAUAAUGCCGAUCUUCCUUUCUCUCUCGAUGACCUCCAAUAUCUGCGGUACCAUUUUGAAGUUUUCUUAAUCGUUUUUCUCUUCGACCUUAUGGCCGAUAAAAAAAAGUGUGGCAUGUUUAGAUGUUUACCUGGACACAAGAGACGCCCGCAUUGCAUAUUAGGAGCGGACUUGCAAGGCUUUAUAAGCAUAAGACCAAGUUCCAACGCCGAGCGAGCCAAUGGUCGAAAUUCAAAAUGAAACAGCUCCGACAAACAUAUCGCAUGAACACAUUUUCGCUACAGCUGAAGAUGGCCAAGCGAGUAAUGCCAUGAGCAAAACACCUCGCUGGAAAAUCCAGAGGACGAAGAUCACGACUUGAUGGGCCUUUCGGUCCUCGACAACAUAGAAAUCAACAUGGUUCAUGUCUUACUUGCAGAAUUCUGGCCAACCACAUCUCAAUCAAAUUUCUUGGACGAUGACGUCAUUGUUAAGGAGGCCACGCAAGUCAAUUUUCUGGUCGCCGAAGAAAUUAAGCAUAUAAGCAAAGAGGAAAAACUUAAAGCAGCUAUCGCAUAACUAUUUCCCCGUUCUUCAUCUGUUAAUUUUCAUCACUUGAAGUCGUUGUAUGUCACGGCCCAUAUUGAAGGAUACCUGAUUUCUAAAAAAAAUUUCUACUGUGGAGCAAUGGUCAACAUCAUGCAUGUUUCUAUCAUGAAAGCAAUACGUCGCUCCAAUAACGAACUCAUUCCAUCAGGGGUAACCAUGAGCAGCUUUGUCGGCGACAAAUCUCAGACUAAGGGAGUGCUUCAUUUAGAAGUGACUAUCGCAGGUCGAAAUCACAUGACCGAGUUUUUUAUAGUCGAUUAAAAAAUUGAGUAUAAUGCAUUGCUUGGUCGAGACUAGAUCCACCAAACUGGCUAUAUCCCCUCGUCAUUAUUUCAAGUCUUCAUCUUCUGAGACGCCAAACGGCUGUAUUACAUCCAAUAAACAAUUAGUUGUUCAAAGCUAAUAUGAUUCAAGUUCACUAUUAUGAUGAUCAUGUCGGCUACAUCACCCUGCAAGGUUUCAAUGAAGAAUGACAACUGACUCGGAUCUCAGUUCAGAAAGCCAUCGAGGUUGGCGCCAAGACUGUUCAGCAGGAUUUGACGAGACUUGGGUUGGUUAACCUAAUUGAUGAUCCUCAUGCCUGAUACCAAACAAGAUAAACACUGGGCUGCAAUUUCAUCCAUUAUGGAACGUCUGUUGGCCCAUUGGUGUACUAUUUAUACGCAACCGAAUUCUGGCGUGAACUUAGUAAAGUUCCUCGCCGAAUGAGGCAACAGUCCAGUCCCGUUACUUGAUAAAGUCUAAGCUACCCCAACCGAGCUCGAAAAUAGUUGGCCCCAAGUUAAAGAUCUAUUGGAUGAAGUAAACGUUCGAAUAACCGAUAACCCUCAGCAUUUAUUUGUUAGUUCUUUGCUGCCCCAACCUAUGUAAGCUGAGCUUUGUAAACUGUUCGAAGAAUUUAAAGAUUGUUUCGCUUGGAGUUACCAUAAGAUGUCUGGCCUGGAUCGAACACUUGUCGAGCACGAAUUACGAAUCAAGGUUGGUUGUAAACCUUUUUAUCAACCCCCUUUCCCGACGAUUUUCGAUCAAAGUUCAGCUUGGCAUAAAAGAUGAACUCGUUCGACUUUUAAAAGUUGGUUUUAUUCGGAUAGCUCAAUACGUCGAAUGGUUGGCGAAUAUUGUCCCAGUUUUAAAGAAAAGUGGUGUUCUGUGUAUUUGCAUUGAUUUUCGUAAUUUGAACUUGGCAACCCCUAAAGACGAAUAUCCAAUUCCAAUUUCAGACUUGCUAAUCGCUCAGCAGCAAACCAUGAGAUGUUAUCUUUCAUGGAUGACCAUGCUGGGUACAACCAGAUUUUCAUUGCUAAGGUCGCUGUCUACAAAACUGUUUUUUGUUGGCCGAGGCACUCGGGACCUAAGAAUGGGUCGUCAUGCCUUUCGAACUUAAGAACGCCAAUGCCACUUAUCAACGUGCUAUGAAUACCAUUUUUAAUGACUUGAUUGGCUUAGUUGUUGAGGUAUAUAUUGAUGAUGAUGUGGUUAAAUCGAAGCACCACCGAACAUAUUUAGAUGAUCUUCGGGGAGCUUUCCCUCGUAUGCGCAAACAUAACCUUAAAAUGAACCCUGUGAAGGAAAUUUUGUGAAAAACAUGUUCAUUUAAGCAACAUCUAUAGCAUGCAAUUAACAAUUAAAAGGCGGAAUCAUGCUUGCAUGCACUCAAAAACAAAACAUUAACCAUGAAAUUCAAAGCCUAGUAGAUUGGUGAACCUUGACUCAACUUAAAACAACAUUUGUUAGUUGAGAAAUUAUACCUUUGUAGAUUCCUCUUUGCAUAAGCAAAGGCUAAUCACCCAAAGAGAGGGCCUUCAUUCCUUGCAUCUUAGAUCUAUGGAUUUGGAUGGAUGAAAUGGUUCUCCAAGUUCCCAAAAUUGAGAACCUUUAAGUCUCUUCACCAAGGUUAGAUUGGAGAAGAAAUGAGUGACCUUGGAGUAGUAGGAUUGCUAGCUAAACCCUCCAAGGAGGCCGGCCACUUUAGAGAGAAAUGAGAGCUUAUGUUCUCAUCCUUUCCCCAAAAGAAAACCCUAAAUGAAUUUUGGCUAUAAAGUCAUAUUUAUACCUUAAUUCAUUGGAGUGGCAAACUUGUAAAUAAGUCCAAAACUUACUCCAUCUCUAAAUGGCCGGCCUUAGGGUAUUAUUGGGCUAAUUGGGCCUUUGUGAAUCUUUAUUCAUUAAGUUGUCAUACAACUUAAGUCAAUGGGCUUGACGUUUGAAGCCCAUUGGGCCUUAAGGUCCAAAACUAUCCCGAGGUCUUUAACGAACUUAUUCGUUUGAUUAAUUAACAUAUUAAUUAAUCCUUGCCAUAAAUAAUUAAACCAUUUAAUUAUUCUUACUCAUCUCCAUUGUUUCUUCAAUCUCCACCUUACACGGUGUACGAUCCAUUAGGUUCCUUUUAGCGAGGCAAUGAGCGAUUAAAACCAUUUCAAAUCGAUUGUGAAUUGAAACUUACUUUCAAUUCUCCUUUUAGUGAUUAUACACAUUUAGGGCUUCCACAAACCAUGAGUGACACCUAGCAGCAUAUCAUGGUUACCCAAGCUAAUCAGAAGAGGUGGAGAACCUAUUCAGUUUAGGAUUACAAAUGCAAUACGGUCUUUCUCUAAUACAAUACUCUUGACCACAUUGUUUGGUUUGAUAGUUUAUUCAUGUCUACUAUCCAAUGUGAUUCAUGUGCUUAUAUGAUUACCUUGAAUGUGAUUUGGAAUGACUUCCUAAAUCUCAUUCAUACUCUGGCCAGAGAUUCUUAAUCAUAUCAUAGAGUAUUCUCCCCCAAACGGUUUGAAGGUUAGAGAUCCCUUGUUGCGCAUUCACUUGCCUCCAUGGCUAAGUGGCUUAACCCCGACGAUGCCGUGGACACCCGCGGAUUGGGUGACUUUGACAUAAUCAAAGAUCAAGUACCUAACCACAAGACAACUAUGAUGCCUCAGGUUAAAGGACUACUUUGCAUUAUUCCAACCAUGAGUUGUCAUGUGACAUGAGUAUGAGAACUCUUCGUUGAUCGUGUUCAGUGAACUCAUUCCUUAUUGAGCACCUACGUACUUGUCUUGGUGUCAGUCACACCAAUGACUCGAGACCAGUCACUCUCACUGAGAGAAGACACAGCCCGUACUGAUCUUAACGGACUGUCAAUGCCCAAUUGGCAAUCCUAUGAUCAGGAACGUUUAGGAUGUGUCUACGAAAGAAUGGUCUCAUGAAUCUAACUUCUUUAGAUCGCAUUCUCCCAAUCACAUAUUCCUUGAACUUAUCGUUUAAGCGUAUAACAUUUAUAUGAGACGGCUCAAACAAUAAUCUUUGCCUUUGAUAUUAAACUAGAUUAGUUUAACAUGUGAAAUGUCCGUAAAGUAUCAUCAUAUGAUUGGUUUUAGGGCACAUUUCCAACACCCUGCCAAAUAUGCCUUUAGUGUAUCGGCAGGCAACUUCUUGGGUUUCCUUGUAUAUCAUCAUGGCAUCGAGGUAGAAGAGAAUAAAGCUCGAGCGAUCAUUGAUGCUCUACCACCAACAACCAAGAAGCAAUUACAGUCCUUACUCGACGUAAUCAAUUUCCUCCACCGUUUCAUUUCUAACUCGGCGAGGAAAAUGGGUGAUUUUUCCACGCUCUUGAAACUUAAGGAUUCUAACAAAUUUGAAUGGCGCGAAGAACAUCAUGACGUUUUUGUGUAAAUCAAGGUCUCCCUCACCACCCCACCUGUCCUCGUGCCACAUCGACAUGGUAAACCUCUUAAGUUGUAUAUCCCGGUUGCCGAGGAAUUCAUUGGUUGUCUUCAUACGCAAGACAACGACACUAGGCAGGAGCAGGCCAUUUUUUAUCUUAGCCGAAAUCUUAACUCAACUGAGAUAAAUUACUUAGCCGCCGAGAAACUCUGUUUGGCUUUGUUAUUUGUUGCGUCUAAACUCAGGCAUUACAUACUCCCUUCUAUUACUCAGGUCAUCGCCCAAACAGAUGUUAUUUGUUAUAUGCUCACUCGGCCGAUAGUAAAAGGCCGAAUUGGGAAAUAGACAAUGGCGUUGUCCAAAUUUAGUUUGCAAUAUGUGCCCCAAAAAAUCGUCGAAGGACAGGCGCUGGCCAAUUUUUUAACUCAACAUCCUUCUCCAUACAGUUUUAAGGGCAACGACGUCGAAAUUGGCAUGGUGGAAACACGUGAUAUUUAUUGGAUGAUGUAUUUUGAUGACUCUAGUACCUCGACCUUGGCUGACGUUGGAAUCGUCAUCCAAUCCCCUGAUCGUUACCAAUGGUAUUUUUCUCUCAAGUUGGAUUUUGAUUGUACAAACAAUCAAGCCGAAUAUGAGGCCCUCGUCAUCGACCUUACUUGAAGGCAGCCCAUGUGCUCGUCCUCAGCGAUUCAGAACUUGUGAGUAACCAACUCAAUGAGACUUUUCGUUGCAUUAGUUGUACUUUCGCACCCUAUCAUAUGGUUACCAAUUAUUUAGCUGAAUCAUUUGCAGACAUUACGUUUAAGCACAUUUUGCAAGUUCGAAAUACUGACGCGGACAAGUUAGCUCAAAUAGCCUUUGGAGCACAAUUCUUGAGGGUGAACUAGGUCGGGUCAUACCAGUGGUGGACAUCUACACCCGGCCUUGGUUAAUCAACAAGUUCUCUAGCAUGACCACGUAAUCUGUACAUGAGUUAUGUCCCUACCUUCGUUGUUCGAACGAGAGGAUCCUAUGGAUAUAUGCACGGUCUAGACAUUACCAGACGACUGGAGAAGAUUAAUCAUGCAAUAUUUUGAUAAUCCCAGUGGUAAACACGACCGCAAGACAAGGGUACACGCCACAAAUUACAUAAUGUACUAGAAUGUACUAUAUCGAAAAGGUGAAGACAAUCUGUUAUUAUCGUGCCUCGGCCCAGAUGAGGUUGCCUAAGCUAUUGCAGAGGUACACAAAGGAAUAUGCAUGGCUCAUCAAUCCGGACGUAAAACACGUUGGUUGCUCCGCCGACAUGGUUAUUUUUGGCCGAGUAUGUUAAAAGAUUACAUUGAAUACGUGCAAGGUUGUGUACAAUGUCAAAUCCAUAGGCCCAUACAAAGGGUCCUAACCGAAUUACUUCACUCGAUCACUAAGCUAUGGUCGUUCAGAGGAUAGGCCAUAGAUGUAAUCGGUAAGAUGACGCCGUCUUCCGGAUCGGCAAAGCAUGCAUGGAUACUUGUAGCGACCGACUACUUCACCAAAUGGGUCGAAGAAAAAUCAUACGCCAAGUUAACAUCUAAAAAAAGUUUGCAAUUUUGUAGAAGAAAACAUCGUGACGAGAUUUGGCAUACCAGAAACAAUUAUAACGGACAACGGCACGAUUUUUACAGUCGACAGGUUUAAAGAAUACACAGCAAGUUUGAAAAUUCGGCUUGAACAGUCCACACCAUAUUACCCAUAAGCAAACAGAUAGGCCAAAACAAGUAAUAAAGUUCUAAUGGGUAUCCUUGAGAAAAUGAUAAAAGAAAAGCCUGGUAUGUGGCAUUUGAAGUUAAAUGAGGCAUUAUGGGCAUAUCGAACUUCACUCCAAUCAGCAACAGGGACGACCCUAUAUGCGUUAACUUAUGGACACGACCCGAUGCUACCAGUCGGGCUAAGCAUCAACUUGUUAUGAGUUAUUGAACAAAGCAGUUUGUUUAGUGCCGAGUAUAGUCAGGCCACAAGGCAAGAGUUGGAGGAUUUGGAGGAAGCUCGGCUCGAUGCCUAUAACUUACUAGAGGCGUAGAAAAAGAUUGCCUUAUGAGCUUAUAAUCGAUGAGUUAGGCAAAAGACAUUUGAUGAAGGUGAGUUAGUGUGGCACCGUGUUAUCGGCAGGGAUUCAGGAUUCCAUAUUCAGGAAAUGGUCGCUGAAUUGAGAAUGCCCAUUCAUUGUCAACAAAGUUCUUGACAAAGGGGUAUACCACCUCAAGGAUCGAACUGGUUUAAUUCAUAAAUUAUCGAUCAAUGAGAAAUUCUUAAAGAAAUAUCAUCUGGUCACUUAGGAGACGCAAGAAUAAAGGAUUGAUUUCAUUAAUUUUCAAAAGGCGUACACGCAAAAUUACAAAAAGAAAUCGACCAGCCUACAAGCCGGCACACAAAAAUUCCUAAAGAGUCAAAUGAAGAAAAGCUUGAAGAGCGGCUUUCAGUUCCAGCCACUUCACUUCACCUAUUGUGACCUCGGCCUGUCGUGUUCUUUUGUCAGCCUUUAAUUGCUUUAUUCGUUUCGUGCUAGCCGCGUACUCUGCUAGUCGAGGUUUGUUCAACUCAAAAUCCUUUUCAAGCUCAGAAGUAACAACCAACCUCUGAAGAUGAAGUUCGACGAUUUAAUGAUCAAGGUUAGCCAAUCUCUCAUUCUUUGCCUUUAUUACCUGGAGCUCUGGUCGGAUAGCUUCGUGAGUGACCAUUGCAGCCUUAAAGUUGUCUUCUGUCCGAAGAGCCUUCUCGAAAGUAGUGAAAUAUUAUAGAGUUCUUUCUAGGACAGUUGAUAAAUGAACGACACUCUCGUUGCUCUGCAAGUUGUCGGCUGUAAGGUCGUUCAAGCACUCUCCCACAGAGUCGAGACCUUUGCGUUAGAGGAUUUGUGAGGCCGGGAGAGACAGAAGUUCCUGCAGCUUGGCGAGGGCGUUAAACUUGGCCGUGGUUACAGAAUGCCCAAUCGUCCCCGAAGUGCUGGAGAGAAAUGCAUCAAGCUCAACUUCCCAUGAAGGCUACACAAAAAAGAUUUGUUAGAGAAAAGAGAAUUAAAAAAGAUGGCAGAGAAAGAAGUUGUGUUAGACCUGCCGAGAAAAGACUCCAGCCAUGUUUACUGGUUCGUUGGUUGAACCCAGAGAGCUUAAUGGCCAAGCUUAGUGUUUAAGGCAAGUUUUCAAUUCAGGUAGCCGAUGAAGGUUAUCUACGUUUGAUGGCCACUGGGGUGGCUAGGAAAUAUAGAUAACGCAUUUCGGUGCAUAUAAUUUUUGGUGAAAUGAGCGAUUAGGCACCUGGCAUUUAAUGUUUUUCUUGGUUUAGAGUUCUAAGGCAGGAAAUUAAUAAAAGACAAUGAUGAUGAGUCUUACAAAGGUCGAAGUGACCUCCUAAAGAGGGAUACCAAGGUUCUGGUCCUAGGAUGAACAUGUGUUUUUGCCGUUGCUUCUGGUUUAACAGAAGAUGUCGCUUCAUGUCCCGGACGUACUUCGGCCGCUUGGGGGUCGACCUGGCCAACCACCUCGACCGCCGGUUAGAGAUCACCUAAAGGGGAUGCGACAACUUUACCUUUGUCCAGAGGCAAGAGACUUGUAGUAGGUGGUUCAACUCGUCGAAGGCACCUCACCAGCAAAGGUACUUUGUUCUCGUUCUCCUAAUCAUAAAAAAUGAUUGUUCGUUAGUCAAUAGAUCUUAUCAAAAUGAAAGGAGAACAUUAUUAAGGGAAAUUGCCAUACCUCUUCUUCUAUGACUAUCACUGGAUUAUUCUUUGGAUUGGGGGAAAGGUUUCUCUCGACCGUGGUUGCCGCAUUCUCCAGAGUAGCAGCAGCUAGGCCCUAAUCAGCAGGGGUAAUGGCCGGCUCCAGGGACCAUUGAGGCGACGACUAGUUCAACUUCAACAGCAAUUUGCAUGAUGGGUCAAACCUUGACCGUCUGGUCUAUAGUUGGGGUCAAAAGGUUUUGCGGUCCCUUUAUCGAAACUUGGAUAGCAAGAGAAUGAGGAGUGAUACUAUGAGUGGUUGCUCUUAUGGUCUGACUUGAAAUAACAUAAAUCUCCCCAUCUCCGUUCUUUGCCUUUUUCUUAAUACGCUUUUAGGGUUGGGCAACGUUACCAGUUGUCUCGAUCUCCGGGCGAGACUGUUUGCUCGAUGCAAUUGGCACAGCAGUGGCCAUUAUUGUAGUUAGGUUGGUAGUCUUUUCGGCUAAGGGAGUCACGAUAGUUGCAAUCUUUUUUUUAGGAGGAGUAAGUUUCUUUUUUACUGCGACCAUCCUAACCACAUCGACCCGUUGUAUUGCACGACCACCUGGGAAAAGCUAAGCCUGAGUCAAAAUGAAGUUUGAAUAUAUGAACAAUGAAAUAAAAUAUAUAUACCUUGAGCUGUUUCUUUGGAUUUUGGAGCAAGAAUCUUCUUUGGUAGAUCGCCAAAAAGUUUUUUUGAAAUUUCCUCGGCCAAAGUACCAAAGAAAUGCUUGAUAUAAGCAUCCCACCAAUUGGUGAAAGUGCUGGUACUAUGGGUUUUUGGAGUAUUCAACUGAAUGUGGAAUUUGGUACAUUGCUCUUGAAAUUCUUACUCGGUUUCCUCGCAUUCCCUCUCCAAGUAGCCCGAGAGGCGUUUUCGACUCAAAAGUGAGCAAGAGUUUAGGAGUGGCAUAUGAUAGCCCUAAAGAAAGCCCAAUUAACUUGCCACUAAGUUAGGAUGGUAGACUUCCCAACUAGCUCGUUGAGCAUCGCAACCAAAAGAAAGGUCGCGAGCUAGGGUAAACAACCCUCAUGACUGUCAAAGGUUGGUUUCCUCUGUUUCUUCCCAUGCCGAUGUUGGGAGUUUGAUGGAAGACGAAUAUUUCUGGUGGCGGCAGAUCAGAAAUUUGUCAUUUGAUAGAUCUUCAAGGCUGAAGAAAUACUUGAAGAUGUCUUCGGCCGAGUGUGUAGGAAUGGGGCACGAGGUUAGUUGAAGACCCAUCGCUUUAGAAGAGUUGAAGCUUGGGAUUUCUGGCCUCAGCUUGGAAAAGUAAACCUGUAGCCAAAGUUGGAAGACCUAGAGUGGGCUGUUCUAGUGUGGAUCGAUCUUCCCAACAGAAGCCUCAACCAAGCACCGGUUAAGGUUGGUGAGGAUGGCCGGGCUGAGGGCCAAGACAUGGUCGUUAGCCAAAGCUUCGACCACUGACAUAUUUUCGGCCAAGCACUUGUUUGAAGGGAAAACUAUGAGAUUCAUGUAUGGGAUUUCUAAAUGACUAUCAUGCAUAUCCAAAACAAUUUUGAUAUACGAAAGCAGCGGAAGCAUUUAUAACAUAUUAUCAAAGCUAUAGUCAUGCAAAUCCCCUUCAAAGUUCAUAGGUUUAUAUAUAAUGCAUCAAAUAAAAUUUAAGAGAAAAAGAACAAAGUGAAGGUUUAGUCUUAUACCUCUUGAUCUAGACUUGAGACCAAGGAUGGACCACCUCCAAGCCCUUUGUUCCUUGAACUCCUUGAGCCUAGCUUCCUUCCUUGCCUCCUCCACUUUGUUACAAUGAGUGCUCCUAGGUUCUCUUCAAGUUCCCAAAGUAGGAAACCUCUAAAGAUCCUCACCCACUAGUGUAGUGAGAAGGAUGAAGGAAUAACCAAAAGGGUGAAAGAUUGUUAGCUAAAUCACCCUCUUUGGUGGCCGGCCUUUGUAGUGAUUUUAGAGAGAUAUUCUUUUGCCUCUUUGUUGUUUUAACAACACAAAAACCCUAAUGAACAAUAUCUCAUAAAGUUCCUUAUAUAGACAAAAGAAACCUAGUCAACACUUGACCAAAUAUCUCACCCUUUCCACCUUAAAGUGGCCGGCCUCUUUGUUGUUUGUUUGGGCUUUGGGCUUUCAUUAUUUCAAGUCAUCCAAUGCUUGAAUAAAAGCCCAAUGGGUUUAGGCCCAAUGGACCCAAUUAAACCCGAACGUUUCUUAAGCCCAAAACGAUCUUUAUCGCUUUUAUGAUUUCUUUAGACUUCUAAAUUAAUCACAACAAUUAAUUAAUCCAAUUAAUUAUUUCCAUCAUCCAUUAGUUACUCACUACAAUAGUGUAUUGGUGAACAAUCUUUUAGGUUCUAAUUAGCAAGGCAGUGAGGUGAUUGGCACCAAUCCAAUUUAAUUCAAUCACUUAGUGAAUUGAAACUUCAUUUCAAUUCACCUUUCUUCUUUGAUGACUACAUUUAAUCAUCUAGAAGAACUCACAAGCUAUGAGUAACAUCUAACCAUAUGUCAUAGCUACCCAAGCUAAUGUAGAAGUUUAUUCGGAGAACCUAUUCAGUUGGAAUUACAAUGUAAUUCGAUCCUUCUCUAAUACAAUACUCUCAAUCACAUCAUUAGGGUAUGGAUAUAUUAUGUCAAACCCCUAAUGUGAUUAUUCCUUCUUAUAUGAUUCAAUUGAGUCGUAUAGGAACGCUUUCCUUUAUUACGCUCGAUACUUCGGCCAAAGAUUCCCGAAUCAUAUCUUAAAGUAUUCUUCCUCUCUUAUCGAGGAUUAGAUAUUCCUUGUUGCGCAUACACUUGCCUUCAUGACUAAGUGGCUUAACCCCAAUUAUGCCGUGGACACCCUCGAAUGGGGAGACUUUGACAUAAUCAAAGAUUAAGUACUUAACCACAAGACAACGACGAUGCCUCAGGUCUAAGGAUUACUUACAUCUUUCCAACCAUUAAAGUUACUUGCUUGACAUGUGAGUAGACCUCCAUGCAAGUACUCUCGUUCGAUUGUGUUCAGUGAACUCAUUCCCCUAAUGAGCACCUACAUACUUGUCUUAGUGUCACAACACGAAUGGGAUGAGACUUUCCAUCCUUCCAAUUGAAGCAGACACAGUAUGUACCGGUUUACGCAUUGUCAGUAUCCCUCCGACAAUCCAACGACCAGGAACCUUUUUUGGACAUUUGGUUAUGUGAAGAAGGUCUCUGUAGUCUAACAUCAUUAGAUUACUUCUUCAAUCGAUCCACUGUCCAUGGAUACACUAUUUAGGACAUAUAUCGUUUAUUGAGAUAGUCCUAAUUCGUGUCUUUGCCAUUUGAUGUAUAAGAAUCAUCCAUACAUCAAUUCAUUUGUCCUGAAAGGUUUCUUCCAAAGAUUGACUUUCAGGGCAUAUUUCCACCAUUGUUCGACUUAGUACAAAAGAUGAAUUUAUUGUACCAGUAAAACAAGAAAGCCUCGUGCUCUUCUUUCUUGAGAUCUUUCUUCUCUGAACCAUCAAAGUGGUUGAUUAAGGUGUUGUAGUUGAAGAAAUUUUUGUGCAGUUUGUGCAUAUCUUCUUUUGAUAGCUUAUGAUCCUUAUUUGUCAAAACCUCGACGGCAAGAUCGUCGAAGACUGCUUUCAGAUCCAGAUCGAACUGAUACAGAGAAAGAUUGGUAUCAAUUGGGAGAUCAGAGGGAGAAGUGCCUAGUAUGGAUGUGAUGUCCAGCACGGUUAGCUCAAUGGGAUCGAGAUAAAGAACCAUAAUGUGGGUGGCCCAACACCAGAAGCUCAAGGCGGCCAUCAGGAGCUCUCGAUCUAUGUUGAUUUGAAAGGUCGAGAGUUUAAUAGCGUCAAAGGUGCCGAGAGUUUUCCAUUCAUCACCAAAAUGUGGCUCCAUUCGGGUGACCUAAGUAGCCCAAGUCACUGGUGUCGAGGGCCAGGGUCCUUAAGGUUUGGUCGAUUCCCACUUCGACCAAUCAUACCUUUGGAAUAAGGGUUUUAGGCAGUCUGCCUUCAGCAUUGCGUUGAUGAUUUCUAGGAUGUUGUCCUUAAAGGGUGGUCCCAGAAUCUGGUGAGUAGUGUUUGAAUCACCCUCAAAUCGAAGGGUUUUGAUGGCACUCCGAUCGAUGAAGUCUUGGCAUUUGUUGCAUUCCUCGGUGAGCUUAGUGAGGAAAGAAUUGGAGGCCAUUGAUGAAGGUUUGGUGUGUUUCUGGGUUUCGAGGUUUGAGUUCUUUUUCUGGGUUGGGAGCAAAUGGCAAGAAUUUCUAAAGGUUGAAAGCAUGAAAGUUCGAAUUAAGCUGGGCAAAAUUUUUAUAGGCAAUUGGGAGAGAAGAUCAACUGUUUAGGUUUAAGAGAUGAAGGGCAAAUCCGACCGAAGAAUUUCAUAAUCAUAACGAAUAUCUUGAAAAUCCAGGUGAAGAGGCCGAAAAGCAUGCGAAUUGAGGUUGCACGAUUGUGUGUAAUGAUGAAGUUUAUGAAGAAUACAUGUUUCGGUGUCUGCACGCCUUGAACGUGGGGGUACUCAUUAUUGAAGAUGGACAGUCAUGAUGAAGAGCUGCCACGUGUCAAGAAAACUUACAGAAGUGAGAGGUCGUGCUUAAUAAAUAUGUUUGGGUGGUUAGAGUAUUCGAGGUUUGCAAUGUUCUCUGGUUUUUCUAGAAAGAAUAUGCUAAGGGUUUAUUAUUUGGCAAUGAAUCACUUCUUCAAAGUCGAGGCUCUGCCAGGAAUUGUAGGCCGAAGACCUCAGAAGUGAGAAGGGCAAUGUUUGGGCCUAAAAUAAUAUUUUGGGCCGAGCUUAGAGUUUUUCUUGACCUAGUAACAUUCAUCUAGAAUCUUUUCAUAGGUUGUCCAGUCAAGGUCGACCGAAUCCUAUUGCUAGAAAGCCUGGUUUAGAUAAGGGUGAAGUAGUAGAACCCUAGUGCAACAAGGAGUCUUAAAGCUGAAGCUGCUUAGAAUUAGGGGAUGAAUCUGAUUCAUUAAAGAGCUUGGUUCAAAGUCCUAUAGGGGAAAUGAUUGGUUGAAACCUGAUCAAAUUGGGUUGAGGAGUUAUAAUCCGAGUACAUUUCUAGUUCGGCCAUGAGGAAGGUUCGCUGCUAUAGAUAGAGAAAUGAGUGCAUCAUUCAAGGACUCUUCAAAUUAACACACAAAUUGCUGUGCGCAGAACUUCUCAACAACCUUGAGAUUUUUUCAUCUCCCAUUUUCUUCCUGCCGAUGACAUCUUCAGUUUGGAUAAACAGCAUUGGAGCUGUAGAAUCAACCGGCCAAGGAACACCUCCAAUUUGAUAAACAACACUACUUCGAGACCGAUUGGUUAUUAUCCAAGUCUCGGUUAACAAGGAUUUCGAAGUCCUUGUUGGUAGAGGUCAUCUCAUCAACCUUUUUGACGAAGUGAGGUGUUACCAGGUUACUAGGCUUAGCACAUUGAAAGCCGAGUUUUAUUUUAUGAUUGGAUAUUCACAAGUACAUUUUAGAGUUUGGCAUUCCGACGACCGAACCACUUUUACAAUCAAGACAUUUAUCUCUUUUGAGUAUUUGUGUCUGUACAGUUUGGUGCCAGUUCGGCGUACUUAUACUUUCACGAAUAUAAUUACCGAGACUGAACCCAGCGCUGAUAAUUUGUGAACUUCAAAGAGAUUAGCAGUCUUGUCUUCAAGCUCUAGAAUCCAAAGGCUAAGACAUGUUCCUUCCUCGGCCAUAGUCGCAAGAUCAAGAAGUCAAAACUCGGCCAAUGAGUUGGCAAGCCAUGCACACAACCGAAUAACGUAGUUAGCUUAUUAGUUACUCGGCAUGUGCGCCAUGUAGGCUUGGUAGUUUUUAGGGUCAACACAUACAUCAACUAAACACUCAAGACAUCCAUACCUUAUAUUGCCAUCCAAACAGGCGCUGAAUUGCCUCUGUGAGUCUUCCCGACCCCCAGAAGAGGUGGAUAACCGUAGCUUGCCACCAGCUGUCUUUCUUAAAAACAAUAAAAAUAAAUAAGCGCUGAAUUGCCAUUCAAACAGGCCCUAUAGUGCAGUGCAACCUACUAACUACUAAGGUGCCACUAAAACAAACAAUACUUAUCAAAUUCAAAAACCAAGAUUCACGUAUUGGGUCAACAGACAUAAGUACCAUGGACCAUACUACCUAGCAGACGGCAUUUAUCCAAAGUGGACAUCGUUUGUCAAAACAGUGCCACGUCCACAAAGUGAAAAGGAAAAACACUUUGCAAGCUGUCAAGAGGGGUGUAGGAAGGAUGUGGAGCGUUGUUUUAGUAUCCUCCAAGCUCGUUGGGCGAUUGUCAAGGGUGCUGCCAAUACAACCCGAAGUGAUUGCAAAAUUAUAGGCUCCGAUUAAAAACAAAUUCCCUAGUCCCUCGUGAAUGGAAAAUCAUCACUUAACCAAUUUGUGGUGCUAUGACCAUCUCCUUUUGCUCUCGCUUCUCUUGCAGGCCUCUUUAGCAUCACGUUCGCUUUCUUUGAAUUCUAAAAAUAUUUAGAAUUCGGAAACAUUGCCUCUUCAGGCUCCUUCAUAAUGCCACAAUCUUGUUGAGCCCUUAUUUCUUCAUUAAGCUCUUCCCUUUCUUGCCUAAGUAGAUCUCUUUCUCUCUCAUUAGCUUGAAAUAACCUCUUACCAGCUACAUCUUUUGCCUCAUCUCUAGCCUUAUCAGCCUCAAAUUUAGCCAUUUCCCAUGCCAAAGUCAAUUCACCUUGAUGAGCAAGUUCUUCCAUAUAUUUUGCAUAAUCUUUUUGGAAGCAGUCCAUUUUCUCUUUGAAGCCUUUUUACCUUGAGGCCUAAUUGGAUAACGGGUGGACCCCGACCCUUGUUCAAGGAUCACUUCCGGCAUUUGUUCUAUGUCGCUUUCAUGAACAUGUGAGUCAUGAUCUGGAGUAUAAUGUAUAUGGGUGUUGUUCAUGACAACUUCUAGACCGACAGACACAACUUUGAAUUUAGGACAAUUUUUACAAUAUUCCAACAUUCCCAUCUGGUGUAUGAUUUAUUUAUUUAUUUUUUUUUGGCAUUAUACCAAGCUUGUGCUUGAAGUGUCUACACAAUGCAGAAGAAGAAAUAAUUAUAAUUAAAGUAGCUAAUGUAAAUUUGGGUAUAGUACAAACAAAUAAAUAAUAUAUUGUUACCUGAUCCAUGAAAUUUUCUCCAUUUCGAAAAUUACUACUAGCUUGUGUCAAGGCGUUUCUCCAAUGAGUAAACGAUUGGCAGAGUAUUCUCCAACGACUGGACAUUGAUUCUUUCAUUCUUUUCUCACCAAUUUCCUCAAGAAAAAAUGUAUGAAUAAGACUCUACAUUUCUCGCAACUGCAUCUCAUUAGCUGUAAUCGGAUCAUGAGUAACUUCAACCCAGCUAGAACACAAUGUAACAUCUUCAAUAAGCAUCCAAUUCGUACCUGCAUCAUUAGUCAUUUUGUUGGAAACCAGUUGGAUUGAAACUUUGAGAGAAAGAUUGUAGUGUGGUUGAAAGUGUUUAUACCAUAUUUAGGGCCUCGUAUUUAGACCUCGUAUAAAUACUCGAGGGACUUAAAUGUAAUUAUGUGAUAAAGGAAGGGGCAAAUAUAUAAUAAGUGAGGAGUCCUUAUUCUAUAAAAUGAUCCCUCACCCUCACAAUUAGGGGAGGUCAACUUUUAGGCUUGAAACCCUCUCACAUCCCCUCUUAUAUUACAGAGGCUCUCUCCCUCACCUCUCAGAUAAAUACAUAAUCAGUGUGGACAUAGCCCAAACCUUGGGGUGAACCACGAUACAUCUUGUGUUAUUUACUUUACUUACAGAUUCACGGUUGGAUUUACGUUGUUCCAAGACCUCCGGUUUUGUGCAUCAACAUUUGGCGCCGUCUGUGGGAAUCGAUACGAAAAGUUGUGUCGGUUCUCUUUCAUUUUUUCAUAUCCGCCGUGAAUCUGCGAAAUCACAGAAACCCAGGAACCAUAGUCACUGCAAAACCCAUAUCUCAAAAUGCAGAAAUGAAAACUCUGAAACUCAACCACAGUUUUCUUUCUUUCUCUCUCUCUUGUUUCUGGGGUUGUGUGCUUUUUAGUCAUUGAGAUCUACAUCAAGAUGGGUUGUCCUGUUUUUUCCCACCUCGCUGAAAAAAAAAAACAAAACGAAAAAAAAACGGUAAGCCCAAAAUAAUGGGCUGCAAUGUCAUAUGGAGGAUGAAGGCCCAUAAGCCCAAAAUAGCACCAACCAAGCGACCAAAAGUACGCCCAGUACUACCAAAAUUAUUCGGCAACCUGCCGAUAUUACCAUCAACCAGGUGAUCAAAAAUACGCCCAGUACUUUAAAUUAUACAUGAGCAUUAUUCAUGUCAUUCAUACAUAAACAUUCAUGAGCAUCACUCAUGACAAUCAUACAUAAACAUUCAUAACCAUCAUUCAUGUUAACAUUCAUGAGCAUCACUCAUGACAACAUCCAUGAGCAUCACUCAUGUCAAGCAACAUAAACAUUCAAGAGCAUCACUCAUGUCAAUCAGCUUCAAAAGCUUCAUUUACAGAGCUCUAGCUUCAAAAGCUUCAUUUAUAAAAGCUCCAGCUUCGAAAGCUUCAUUUAUAGAGCUCUAGCUUCAAAGCUUCACUUGCAAAGCUUCACCUACAAAGCUUCAAUGCAGGGUAUACAAAUACAGCCUCCGAACAACCGCUACUUCGGCCCAUACAUAGAUUCAAUUUGAAGUAUCUAGCCAACAGACUCUAUUGACCGAAGACUUGGGGGAUUACAUUAUGUACCAUAUAUUGGGCCUCAACUGGGCCUCAUAAAAAAUACUUUGCGGACUCUAGCCAUCACUUAUGUAUUGAGGAACAAGCCCUUAUUUUAUUAAAAAUGACUCCCUCACCAUCAUUAGAGAGCAUCGCCGCCUACUGAGCAACCGCCUUGCCGCGAGCAUCAACUCUAGCCCAUAUUUAUGUAUUGAGGAGUGAGCCUUUAUACUAUAAAAAAGACUCCCUCACCUUCAAACGCCACAAGCCGAGCCAACCAAGGCAACAUAAGCCACGAGCCGAGCAGCCUCGUAGCGUGUGCUACUUCUAGUUGAGCGUCAUUUCAGAUUGAGCACUGCCUCAUAUCGAGCAUCAGUUCAAGACAGCAUCUAGUUACUUCGGCCCACACAUGGACUGAAUUUCAAGUCUCCAGUCAAAAGACUCUCUUGACUGAAGACUUGGGGGACUACUGUUUAUACCAUAUUUAGGGCCUCGUAUUUGGAGCUCGUAUAAAUACUCGAUGGACUUAAAUAUAAUUAUGUGAUAAAGGAAUGGGCAAAUAUGUAAUAAGUGAGCAGUCCUUAUUCUAUAAAAGGACCCAUCACCCUCCCAAUUAGGGGAGGCCAACUCUUAGGCUUGAAACCCUCUCACAUCCCCUCUUAUAUUACAGAGGCUCUCUCCCUCACCUCUCAGAUAAAUACAUAAUCAGUGUGAACGUAACCCAAACCUUGGGGUGAACCACGAUACAUCUUGUGUUAUUUACUUUACUUGCAGAUUCACGGUUGGAUUUACGUUGUUCCAAAACCUCCGGUUUUGUGCAUCAACAGAAAGUAUUUAAGAAAAUAUGAAAUUAUGGUGUAAGGUAGAAAAUAAUGAGAAUGUAUUUAUAGAAAAGUAAAAUCUUUUUAUUUUUUUCGGAUUUUUUAUUAAUUUUUAACAUUUUUAUUAACUUAAUUUAUUUAUGCCGGUGGAUUAAAAAAAAUUAAAUCCAAUCCUUCAAAUUGUGCCACGUGGCACAAUGAUAAUAUAUCUAAUUUUUUUUCCUUUUUAAAAAAUUUUUAAAGGUGAAUAACGUGGACCAUUAAUCUGAAAUUCAACGACUGAUAUUGUGUCACGUCAUCUAGCCGUUUAGGGGAAGUUUGAAAUUUUUUUUACCGUUGGAAAUCCAACUGUCCAUAAAAAGUAUCCGUUGAAAUCCAACGGACGAGAAGGUCUCACCUGCCCAAGGAAACAGUAACAAUUCAGACACCAUUCGCCGGAAUGUCGACCGCCACCGAUUUACAGCUACAUCCAGGCUAGAGGUUCGAUCGGACGGACGAGGAACUCGUGAACCACUAUUUCUGCCGGAAAUGAAGUCGCCGUUGACUUCUUUCCCGGUGAUCGCCGCUAUCGAACUCUACCAUUACAAACCCUGGGAUCACCCCGGUAAAAUUUCCCCCAAAUUUUCGUCAAAAUCUAAUUUCGAAAUUAAAAUUUGGGGUUGUACAGAUUUCUUCAUUUCUAUGUAUUUGUAAGCGAUUUCUUGUAAUUAAGUUGUUUUAAUGAUUAAUUAAUUUAUAGAUUUCUUACGAUUCUUCCUUAUUUCUUAAUGUUUUAGGGAUAUCUUGUCUAUUUAAUUAUGUUAAUUUAUUUGCGGUGCAGUUUUGACGCUAGACGGAGAGAAAGAGUGGUAUUUCUUUACGCAAAGGAACCGGAGGUACAAGAACGGUUCGAUGCCGAACAGGGCGGCCGGAAGUGGUUAGUGGUACGCGAGCGGAUGCAAGAAGUUGAUUGGGCAUCCGAAAUCGCUGGGGUCCAAAGGCCUUUGGUGUUCAAAAUCGGAAAACGACCGGGAGGCGAAAAGACUAACUGGCUUAUGGACGAGUACAGCCUCGCCGCCGGGAACCGCCCGACUGAGAAGAAGAAAGGCCAAUGGGUACACUAACCUCUCUCUCUCUCUCUCUCUCUCUCUCUCUCUAAACAAUUAGUCCAUUGCAAUUGCAUGGCCGCGAGAGUUCAAUUAGUCCAUUGGAAAAUUGAUUUAAAUUUUGCGACGGGCACGAAGGGUAUUAGCAUAAUUGUCAGGAAAUUAGUAAAUUUCAGCACCCAAACCAACACGUACAAUCCCUUCAAAGAGAAAGUUAAGUCAAAUUCUACAUGAUUCAGUACUUCACCUGGGAGGGUAAGAUCUAACGUUGGUUAAGAUAUAAUUAAGUCAAGGAUUAAUCAUUAAAGCAAGGGGAUAAAAGAUAAUCCCACAAUACAAAGAAGCCUAGAAGGGCAGCUUUCCACAUAAACUUGCAAUUGUCUAAAUUGCUUUCCGGGAAUCAUAUCAUUCACCACUAGUCACAAAAAAAGAUGAAUGAAUGAUGCUGCCCUUUUAGUGGUUUUAAUGACCUUCACUUCCAUCAUUACUUCAACAUAUUUCUGGUUUUUAGUGGUAUUAAUCGACUCAUCAUUCCACUAAUUGGGACUUUGCUCCCACUCAACAUAUAAAGAUUCAACCACCGUAGAAAACCUUUUUCUUCUUCUUCUUAAAAUUACAUCGCUCAUGAAAUUACGACCCAUUUAGUACUAUGGUUUGGUGGUAUUCAUCUUCACUUGUAAGUGAGAGGUCUUGGACUCGAAUCUCGUACAUGGCGAAUUCGAUAAUAAAUUAGGUUGUUUAUUGUGUGGCUUAGCUUAACUCCCCCUUCUCUUAGUGUAAAAUAUAUCAUUGUACUAAAAAAAAUUACGACCCUCAUAAAAUUAUUCGACUUUUUUAUAUUUUUAGUUUAAAGUUUAACAUAAAUAAGCUUAUUACUCUUUUUUUUUUUAAUACGUGCGGCAUUUUAUUUUAAAUUAAUUUUCUCAUUUUCUCUCCCUACACUACACACUUUUGUUGUGUUUUGGCCUUGAACUGAAUGAAUCAAAAGAAAACCUACAUACAAAUGUGUAAUAGAGAUAAGGUGUGUGAAAAACACUUUUCUUUCAUCAUAUGAUUAACUACUAUAAAAAUGCAAGAUAAAAACACGAGAGCUUCAACAGUGUAUCACUACCAUCACAUUUUAUUCAAAACGAGAGUCAUCUUCAUCAAUAAUUUAUCUCAUUUAAUCAUUCAACCAAAAAUCAUACAUUUACAAAAUUGUUCGUGCACUGGCAGAACCACCUUAAAGGCUACCAUGGGCUAUAGCUCAGGUAGCUUUCGGUGAAAAAUAUAUUACAGUUUACAAACCAUCUCUUUUUCUUAAAUCAUUUUUCUCAUCACUUCUUGUACAUAUAUAUUUCAAGUUUGAAUUUUAACACCUAUUUGUUUAGUAAUGAAAAGUUAUUGACUCAACUUGUGAAAAUUUUCUUAAACUGGCCAAUACUGUAAAAAAUACAUUAUCAAGUUUCUUUGGUUAUAAAGAUUUAAAUGUUUAAGCUAGCUCACCGGAUGACAAAUUAUUAACUCGGCUCUUGUGUCCGUAGAGACCAAAUAAUUACAUAAACGACAAAUGGAACUUUUUGUUCUUUUACCUUAACGACUGUUUGGUCACGAUGUUUCAAGAGAUAGCAAGAUUUGGCUGUUGAAUAAACAAAUUGUUUUGGUGGAAUUAACUAAUAAUUAUAUUAUAUAUAUUGGAAGAUCUGUGGUCAGCUUCCUUCCAACAACAACGUGUAAUACUUCGUUGUAUCAGGUUAAUUAACCUCCCCUAGUAAUUAACCAUUAAUUAUCAUGCAAAGCAUGUCUGUUAUGUCUUGUAUUCCAGACUGAUCUACCAGUCCACUCAUAAAUUCCAAUUAAGGUCGAUGCAGAAAAGUAAUUUUGCUUGGACAAUCAUCUAUAUGCGCGGGUAGGGCAAUUUUCAGCUGUUGAUACGGAGCCAACAAUUAAUUAAUGCAACUGCUUGCGCAUCAGCGAUUGUCUCUAACGUGAAUGUAAUUCUAUCGUUUUAAGUGGGAAUAAAAUAGCUUACAAUAGUAACUCGAUGAAAGUAUCACAAAAUAUUGGUCAUUUGUGGCAACAUGAGAGUAAGACUACAAUAGUAGUUCAACAACCAAACUUUUAAAGAUUUCUUUUUUAACUAAAAUAAAUCUAAUGGCAAAUAAUAUCUAUCUUAUUGAAAAAUUUAACAUGUUAUCAAAUUGUUCAUCUAAAGUAUUGAAGAGGUACAUUUUUAUUUAUUAAAGGAGACUUUGAAUGCGGUCCCUAGCUAUAAAUAUUCUUUGAUUGAAACUUUGUUGGUUUUCAAUUUUUGAUCGAAGUCUCUGAAAUUAAUGUGAUAAUUUAUUUCUAUGUACGUUACUAUAUUUUUUAAAUUAAAAAUUAAAAUUUUAGCUAUUUAUGUAAAUGAGAUUUUAAAUAAAAAACCAUAAUUUGUGGGAUUAAAAAUAUUAAAAUAUAAAUAUACUAUUGUGUGUGUGUGUGUGUAAACAUGAGUACAUUCAUCAAAAUUAACCAAAAAAUUAUUGUACCAAAACAUGGGUACAUUCUUCAAAAUCACAAAAAAAAAGAAGAUAUUAGGCUUAAAAAUGGAUUAGAAAAAAAAUUCUUUGAUUAAACUUGACAUGGAUACAUUUAAAAAAAAGAAAAAGAAUGUACCCAUAUAAGUUUAAAAAUGGAUUUAAAAAAAUUGAAUAGAUUACAUAUAAAAAAAAGGGUACAUUUUACAUAUAACAAAUUGAUAUAUUUAAGAAUGAGUACAUUUUAAGAUUAAAAAUUUGAAAAAAUUACAUGAAUGGGUACAUAUAACUAGCAUGGGUACAUUUGGCAAAAAAAAAAAAGAAAGGGAACAAAUAAAUUUAAAAAAAAAGGGUACAAAUACAAAUAAAACUUUAAAAAUAUGGGCACAAAAAGAAAUUAAUAUAUGGGUACAAAUUAAAACUGAAAAGAAAAUUGGUAUAAAUUAAAAAUGGGUACAAACUAAAACAAAAAAUAUAUGAUAAAAAAUUUAGUCAUAAAUAUAAAUAUACUAAUUGUAACAUUUUUAACAUUAAAUGAAUAUAUUAAGAAAUAAAAAAUAUUUUAUUAUUCAAAUAAUUAAUGAUGUUAUUAAUACCCAAGGACCCUGAUAAAAAAUUGAAAAGAAAUAGGAUUUUAAUCAAUGGAAUAGCAAAAGGAAGGAUGAGAACCUAAUUUCUCCUUUAUUAAAUUAUAUAGAGCUCGUUUGAAUGUGCUUUUAAAAUGGCUAAAAGCGCUUUUAGAGAAAAUGUUUUGGUGCUUCUUCCAGGAAGCACUUUAAGUGCUUUUCCAAAAUUUACUUGCAUUUUUACUAAGAAUUGGUUCCAAAAACAUUUUCACCAAAAACGCUUUCAGUCAUUUUAAAAGCAUAUCCAAACAAGCACAUAGUGUUGUUGUUGGAGAUUGUAGCUCAUGGGAUGGUUGUUCAAGAUUGUAUUCUCCUUGGGUCACCUAAUGCUUGACCAAAUGGGUGAUUAAUAUAUCCACAUUAUUUUAUAUAUUUUAUUUAUUUAUUCUUAACGAAUGUUGUAUUUUCUAAAUAGAAUUUUAUGAGCACCAAGUAUUUUAUUUACUGCAUCAUAUUUAUAAUUAUAAUUAUGUGUUAGCGUGUUUUUUUAAGAUGAGACCAAGAAAAAUUAUAACUUACUAUAAUAUAGAGUUUAUUUCAAUACACAAUUGAUUCUAAGUUGAGACCGAAAUUUUUUAUGAUUUUAAAGAGGUUAUUUCAUUAUAGAAUAUUAUUUUAAAAGAGUUUUACUGUAAUAUAUUAUGUUACAUCGCCAAGAUUCAUUCCCUAUAUAUAUAUAUAUAUAUAACUAUUAUUAAUACUCUAAAAAUCUCAAUUCACACUCCUUAUAAGUGUAUUUUUCUUUCUAAUUAUUGAACGUUUGGAGUGCAAAACGAGAGUUUUGGAGUGUCAAUAAUAUUUCCCUAUAUAUAACAAUUACAUAUUUAUAAUAUUAGAUAUUAUUUUAGUAAUUUUUAUUAAUCAUAUAGUAGAUUCCGGACAAUUUAUUAUAUUUAUCAUUGAUCUCCAGGAUUAGAUUUGAUCUUGGUGUGCUUAAUGAAGGUUUAGGGCACUUGGCUAACACUAUGAAACACCAAUUAAUAUGCUGUAAAGUGGAAAAGGAAACCCUUAUUAAUCAACACUAACCUUUACUUGGAUUAGUAAUAACUUCCAUCACACACAAGAAAACUAGACAACUCACAAACCAUCCAUCAAAGUGUUUUUUUUUUAUAAACAAACGAUAAUAUCUCCACUAAGGAGGUGGAAGAAUGGUACAAUAGGCUUGCCAUAAUAAUGUGUUUCAACUUUACUUUUAGUGAGAAUCGAACCUAAAACUCUCACCAAGUGAAGAAGAAUAGCACUAGACCGUGUGGAUGCAAAUUUCCGUCUUCUUCUUCUUGGACAAAAUUGCACCUACAAAACAAUUAACACUUAGGGUCAAGGCCAAGAGCCUCACGCACCCACGAUGAAUGGGGGAGUUUUGGCCGAAGAACCUCCGAUGUCAAAGUUAGAAUUUAGAGAGUUUUUGGAGUUUUACAAGAGUGUCGGAGCUCCCUUUUGGGAGAGAAUGGUGAGCUAUAUAUAAGGAUAUGGCCGGCCCUAUUAGGAGAAUAGGGACAUGCCAUUUAGGUAUUUUUUGGGUGUAAAUUGUGGUUAAUUAGCAAUUAAUAUAUUGAUUAGGAAUAUAUAUAUUAAUUGGCUAAUUAACAUAAUAAAGGAAUGUUUUUGGGAGGUUAUGUAAUUUAUAGCUUAAUUGAUUAGAUAAAAGAGGGAAAAAGAGGUAAAAAUAUUUGGAAUGAGAUAGGUUUUGGGAAUUAUCUUGUAAAAGGGAUUUGAUGAGACGGAUUUUGAAUUGUUACAUUUUUUGGGCAUUUUUGACUUGGUUGAGAGAUGAUUGUACGCUGCUCGCGCGUAAGAAUCCCGAUAUGCAUCAAGGGUGUUUUUGUCCUCUUUUAUCCAAAAUCCACGUGUCGCUUUGUAAUUAUUUUUGGUUCCACAAACCGUAGUACUAAGUGACUCCAUCAAAGUAUUCUCAAACCCUUUACCACAACAAGUGAUUCAGUGAUAAGGACGCAGACUGCGGCUCCCCAAUAAACCAAAAAAAAAAAAAUUAUGAUUUACCACAAAUUGUUCCCUUUUUGAAAAGAAAAAGAAAAAAGUAUUCUCAAACCCCUUACGUUUACCAUUUUAUCCUUGUCCCACGUAGGCAAGGAAGAAAAUAUCAAUAAUAUCGGCGAUAUAUCGCCGAUAUUAUCGGUUUUUCCCCAAACCGAUAUUUUAAGUGGUAUCCAAGGGGUUUUCCUCAAAAUUUCGCGAUAAUAUCGAUAAUAUCGCGAUAUUAUCGAUAUUAUCGUGAAAUUUCGGAACUGUGCAAGUCGGAGACGAACGCCGGAGCUUCUACAGCUCCGGCCGACUGUAAAACAACCCCCUAGACUCCAAUCUAGGUAUGAAAAUGAAAUAGAAGACGAGAUGAACGUUUUUAUAACGUCCGUUUUCCGUGAAACGGCCGGAGGUGUUCGGAAAGUUCGUCGACACCCACGGCCUCACCGGAGAUGGGUGUGCCUAUUCCCGAGUCAAUUUCAUCCCAAAAACCUUGCCAAAAGAUGAGAUAGAACUUCAAUUUCACAUCUAAGCUUCGAUCUAGAACAUAAAAAGAAAAACCCGAAGCUUACCUAACCGGAGAAAUUGAAGGAACUCGCCGGAGGGUUCCUGUGUUCGCCGAGUUGCAGAGACGAGAGGAGAGGGAGAAAGACGAGGGUUCCUGUGUUCGCCUGAUCUAACGAAUGAUCAAUCUGGAGUGGUACGACGACGAGGAGAUAGAGGAGGGGGAAAAGGAAGAGGAAGGGGAAGGCGACGUCGUAAAGGCGGAGUCGUCGUCUUCGAUUAGCUUCUCCGAUUUGACGAAAUCGAUGACGAUAGCGUCUAGGGCUUCCCAAUUAAUUGGCGUCGAGUCCAUUUUUUGGAAUUUUCUAGGAAAAUUUUGGACUGUUUGGUUGGAAGGAAAAUGACUAGAGAAAGAGAGAGAGGUGGAGGCUCGGAGGGGAAAAUAUUAUGUGAAACGAAGGGAAGACACGAGGUCUUUCGUAAAUUAGAGGGCAGAGAGGUGCGAGUAAUGUUAGUGUCACCGUGUGGGUGAUUUAGGUUUUUUACUGACUUGUACGUGGACGUCUUGAGGUGUGCAAAAUAUCUAAUCUGAUAUGAUUUGAUCUGCGCACAUUUGACGUAUACGGAUCUGGAAAAUAUAUAUAACAAAAUGGUAAUUUUCUUAUUUUUUUUUUAUAUAAAGAAUGAGUACAUUAUAAAUAAGUUGUGAUUACAUAUGUGUUUGUGAUUACAUAUUCAGCCUGUAAUAUUUAUAUGGUCGUUAAGAUGUCUGCAAGGCUUGCAAGCUAAUAUUUAUUAUCUAGGAUAAAUUUCUAUAUUUAAAAAAAAACACCAGGGGAUUCGAACCCCUCCCAUUUUACUCCUUCAACAUAGUGAAAAUUUUGAACCUCAUAAGAAUUCUAUGUGGUACUAAGUCACUCAUGUAUCUUACCAUACAAUGUAUAAAGUGUAAAAUAUUGUACUAAUUCAUUAUAUAUAAAUGAUUAUGGUGUGUUUAAACUUCUUUCAUUAAUUACUAUAUAUUUUCUACACUCACAAUGUUUGCCAACUCGCUAUAUAAUCAACUUAAAUCAGUUAAAUCCAUUAUGCAAUGCAUUUCCUUCCAAUUUUUUGUGAUAAAUUAAUAGAUAAUUGACUAAAUAAACAUCCUGCAAAGUUUCAAUAAAAAUUUCCAAGUUUUUCUUACAAUUUCCGUGGUUUCCAUGUAAUUUUUAUCGAUAUCGAUAUUAUCCCGAUAUUUCCAUCGAUAUUUCCGUGUUUUCGGACUACCGAUAUUUUCUUCCUUGCACGUAGGGAACAUUUUACCAUACUGGUAACUCAAAACAAAAUUUCACUAGACGACAACACCAUGGUAACUGAAAACAAAAGUAUCCCCAUCAGAAUUAAAAGAAAAAAAAAUACAAACAAAUUAUUUACUUAGAAAAAUCCAAGCUAGCACAAAUUCCGAAGAGCAAACAAUUGGCUUAACUUACCGGCUGAGCCCCUCACCCAAUUGCUUUCUUUAUGUUCUAACCAACCUUCCCAUUACCAAAAGAUCAAAACUUUAGUAUGCACCCCUUUAUAAUAUAAAUUAAUAUGAGAGCUGCUAAACCCACCCCGUUGUCUUAUUUCCCCACCUACGUUAUAUUUACACCCACUAUAAAAAGUUAAAAAAUUAAAAUGUUAUUUUCUCACCCACUAUUAUUCCUAAAAUAACCCUAUAUAUAAUUAGAGAUAAAUUUCUCUAAAAUUUAAUGAAGCUACUCCCCAUUAAUUCAGAAAACAAUAAACCCCAGUGAUAAACCAUAAACGAAAUUGACCAAAAAGGAACAACCUCGGAUACAGCAGCAGCAGCAAUACAUGUUCAUUGCCUGUAUACUUUUUUUAGUCACAUUGUUGUCUGUUUUGUUUCUAAUGGGAUAAAUUUUCACAAUUCAGUACCAACUACGAAGAGCUUCGCUAACAGAGGAUGAUGCCCUUGCAUUUCUAAAGGCUGAUAAUCUUGGUGAUUACAGAACCUAUUCAAGUUUCUGUGGAACACUUCGACGGGUUCGAUAUCAACUAACCAAUUGGAAAAUUUACUAAAAGGCAAAGAUUCAGAGCAAGAUUGUGACGCUGUUCGUGGAACCUCCUCAGCCCUCGCUAACAGGUUCGAUAUCAAUUAACCAAUUGCAAAAUUUUCCCUAACCUAAUUAAAACAAUUCCAACAAAUUCUAGGAAUUCUCAUAGGAAAACAUGAAACAAAUUGUACCCUAUAACCUAAUGCAAAUUCAAAUAAAAAGUCACAGAGCUAUGCUUCAAUUAUUUAUGUCGACGAAUCAAGAUGGUCCACAUAAAAUUAUCUUUUACCUGUUCGACGGAAACAUAGUCAUCUACUUGUUCUAUAGAAAUGUUAUCUUCUAAAUUCAUUCUUUUUGCUUUCUUUGAAUGAAAGGGGAUGAAAAGGAUGAGUUAGGGUUUAUGGGAGACAAAUUUUCUAAACUUUUCUUUUUUAUAAAAAAAAAAUUAAUGCAAAAAGGAGUAAGUAAGGUCCAUAUUAGUCAUUUUACAAAUGGAUAAAUUUGUAAUUAAAAAAUUCAUAAAAAGGUGGGUGGGGAAAUAAGACACCGGGGUGGGAAUAUCACCACUCAUUAAUAUUCAAGUGCCACAUAAUUUUUUUUUUCUCAAAUAAGUCCUCAAAUUUAAAAAAGAACUGUUAUUAGCACUUUAUAAUUCUUAUUUUGCACUCUUUUGAAGUGUGUGUGUGUGUGUAUAUAUAUAUAUAUAUAAUUUUUUUUUACAAGAGGACAAGUGGUGUCAAACCACGAUUAUUCACCAAUUUGGGGCCCGGAGAGGCUAUGGGGAAUUUUACCCUGUCCGUAACAACAUUUAAGUAGACUUACUAACUCGGGGUAUCGAACUUGGACCUCCCACAUUUAUUUGUUUAUUGGGAACCUCCCAUAUUUUUUUAAAGUAUAUUUUCUUUCUAAAUAUAAAAAAUUUAAAGUGCGAAAUGAAAAUUUUAGAUUACUAAUAAUAAAUUCACAUUAAAAAAUAGUAACAUUUUGUAAAUUUAGAGACUCACUGUCCCACUUCUUUUUAUUAUCAUAAUUAGUCUUUCUCAACUUUUUUUUUUCAAAGUUAAAAUAUUAAAAAAAGCUCACUUGAUGGAAAAUAGUAAAUAAAUACUAAGAUUUGUUGAAUAUGUUGGAGCAAAAUUGUAACAAAUUUUAGUUUUCAAAUUGAAAUUGGCAUAUGGUCCAACAAAUUUGUAUUUGUAGAAACUGUUGCUGAUGAUAUAAAGGUUUGUUUACUUAUUAGUAAUGCGAUGAAAAAAAGGAAUAGGUUCCUUUCAUGAUUUUUCUUGUGUUUACUUGCAUGUAAUUGGAUUACCUAAAACUCGUUAUGAAAAUAACCCAAUUUCAAGAAUUUGAUUAGCUAGAGGGAGGUGUUUAUCCAAUUCCCUAUCUUUACUUUUUCUCAUUUCGAAGAUAUUUGGUUUGUUAAUUCCCCAUUACUAAUAAGUAAACGAGGCAUAAAUUUUUAGCAGUUAAAUAUUCUCUGAUUGCUAAAUGUUAACGCAUAAAGAAAUUUAUAAUAAAAUGUAUUGCACAUUGGCAUAGUCUUAUUGGGUAUUGAAUUCCACAUAUAUUUCAAGAGACGACAUAUAAGUUUUAGGGAAAAGAAAAAGUCCACAAGUCAAAGUUAAACAAAUUUUAAAUUUCAGAAAAUAAAAUAAUAAUUUUUUAGUUUAAUUAAAAAAAUUUCAAAAAGUGUAGCUAAAAAUAAAAAAAAACUAAUAAAAAGGGUUUGAAAACUUUGAGUUUUAACGAAAAUGACAAAAUAAAGGGUAAAGUGUAUAGUACUGGGAUUGAUUUUUUAAUGUAAAAAUAUAAUUUUUCGUUAAAAUAAACAAUACAAAUAAUUUUUCGUUAAAGUUCUUUAAAAAUAAUCUAUCUACAAAUCGAAAAAAAAUUGGGUAAAAAGACACAGGACAAAGAAAAAAAUAAAAAACCAAAAAUGCACACACAUGGAAAGGAAACGAAAAGACUAAAGACUCUCUCUCUUACUCUGUCCUCCCACCAUUUCCACACUCACUUUCUCUCCAUCGGCUUCUUCUUCUUUCUUCGCGUAGCUCCCGCGUCCAGGUCGUUCGAGGGCACUGAAUCUAUUUCUAGGUAUUUUUGUUUGGGGAAUCACAAUUUUACGCAUUUUUGUUUCGAACAAUUUGUGUAAAAUUUGAUUUGCAAAUGGACGAUUUUAUUGCCCUAGAUUCUGUGAUGCUGCUGUGAUCUGAUCUUGGAACUAGUCCUUAAUUGUAUUUAAUUCUUGUGUUUCUGUAAAUUUGCAAUUAGUUACGUUGUUUGUACUGAAUUUUAGUUAAUCCAAUUGGUAAAUUUUGCUAACUGUGAUUUGUGGGCAUGAAGAUCUGAUCAUUUGGUUCAAUUUUGGAUUGUUUUUUUGGUGUGCAGAGUGUUGGGUUCGAUUUGGAGUGGGAAGUGAGUUUGCAUUGUGUGGGGUUGCACUGUAGCAUUGUGCCUUUUUGAACAGUGUUAGUGUGUUUGUAAAGUAAAUGUGUUUGUGUUGAAGGAGGGCUGGUAUUGGAUGGUGAGGUGAUGAUGUGAUGCUACUUAGGCAGAGAAACUGGGUUUUAGGAUUGUCGGAAGGAGGGGAGUUCUUCGACAUUUGCAUUAUUGGUGGACUGAGGUAUUUUUCUUUGAUCUCCAUAAGUUGUAUUUGUUUCGUAUUUAUCUGGUUUUUGAAAAUUUUCAUGUCGGGCAAAGUACCUUUUUUAUAAUUCGGUUGUGAUCUUUAAGGGCCAUGAUGAUUUUCUUUUUCGUGCUUUUCAAUAGGGAUAAAAAUCAAAGAGAGGGAAUAGAGAUGAAAGGAAGGAGAGGAGAGGGAGCAAGAGAGCAAAAAUAUAUAUAGAAUGAAACCAAAAACCUUAUAGUUGUUUUUAAUUUGUGUUAAAAGUCAUUAGAUGUAUUUUCCUUAUUAAACAAAAAAAACCAUUACCAUAGUUUUGAUGAAAUAUUGUGAAGUAUUUGCAGCUUCAGGUCACCCAAUUUUAAGGUUGUUUCAUUUGAUGAACAAUUAAAAUAUUUUAAUUUUCAGGUGGGCAAGGAGAAAUAUGAAAGUGGCAUACGGUGCAAAUGUCAAAGUCUCCCUCCCCUAAACUGCGACCCAUAUCUUCUUCUACUUCACAGUCUAGGUUAGACAUGUUCUAUUUGCUUGGUCUCUUUAACUGUGGUGACAAAUUGGUCUUUGAUAGUUCAGAAAAUGAAUGAUGCACUGAUAAAUUUACUUGAGUGCUCCUUAAGUUUUUUAUUUUUUUUAUUUUUAUCCCAGUCUUUAUAAAUAAGCUGGAGAAACAAAAUCGAUUCUUCUUAAACUCUUUAGUUGCACAAUUGUUGAUUAUUCCUUUGCAAUAUAUUCAAAUGGUUCAUAUUUCACCCAGGGUUUUAAAGGAACCAGCAAUGGAUGAUGAAGAAGGUACAAUGGCAAGAGUUGCUCAAUUUGUCGAGCAACUACAUGCCAGCAUGUCUACACCGAAAGAAAAAGAACUUAUUACAGCUCGAUUGCUUGGUAUUUCCAAAGCAAGAAAGGAUGCAAGAGCAAUUAUUGGUUCGCAUUCCCAGGCAAUGCCAUUGUUCAUAAGCAUUCUCAGGAAUGGCACCCCUGCGGCAAAAGUUAAUGUGGCUGCAACUUUGAGUGUCCUGUGUAAAGAUGAAGACUUGCGUCUUAAAGUACUUCUAGGCGGAUGCAUCCCCGCUUUACUCUCACUUUUGAAGUCUGAAUCAAUUGAGGCUAGGAAGGCAGCAGCAGAAGCUAUAUACGAAGUUUCCUCUGGUGGGCUUUCAGAUGAUCAUGUAGGCAUAAAAAUAUUUAUUACAGAAGGUGUAGUACCAAACUUGUGGAAUCAACUCAAUCCAAAGAGCAAGCAGGACAAAGUGGUUGAAGGUUUUGUGACAGGGGCUUUGAGAAAUCUUUGUGGUGACAAGGAUGGUUACUGGAGAGCAACACUUGAGGCUGGUGGAGUAGAUAUCAUUGUGGGUCUUCUGUCUUCUGACAAUGCUGCUGCCCAGUCCAAUGCUGCCUCCCUUUUGGCCCGUCUUAUGUUGGCUUUCAGUGAUAGCAUCCCCAAAGUAAUAGAUUCUGGAGCUGUCAAAGCUUUGCUUUGGCUUGUGGGUCAGGAAAAUGAUGUUUCUGUUCGUGCUAGUGCUGCUGAUGCUCUGGAAGCCCUUUCUUCAAAGUCAACUGGGGCUAAAAAGGCUAUUGUGAAUGCAGAUGGUCUUCGAGUUCUAAUUGGGGCUAUAGUUGCUCCAUCUAAAGAAUGCAUGCAAGGUGAGUGUGGGCAGGCUCUUCAAGACCAUGCCACACGGGCUUUAGCAAAUAUUUGUGGCGGGAUGUCUGCUUUAAUUUUGUAUCUUGGAGAACUUUCACAGUCACCUCGCCUAGCUGCCCCGGUUGCUGAUAUUAUUGGAGCUCUUGCAUACACACUGAUGGUCUUUGAGCACAAUUCUGGUGCGGAUCAGGAUUCUGUUAAUGUAACAAAGAUAGAGGAUAUUCUUGUAAUGCUGCUAAAGCCUCGGGACAAUAAGCUUGUUCAAGAGCGUGUCCUUGAGGCCAUGGCUAGUCUAUAUGGCAACAACUAUCUCUCCAGUUGGCUCAAUCAUGCACAGGCAAAGAAGGUGCUCAUUGGACUUAUAACAAUGGCUGCUGUUGACGUGCAAGAGUAUCUUAUACCCUCUUUGACAAGCUUAUGCUGUGAUGGUGUUGGAAUAUGGGAGUCCAUUGGCAAGAGAGAAGGAAUUCAGUUACUUAUUUCACUGUUGGGGUUAUCCAGUGAGCAGCAUCAAGAAUAUGCUGUUCAGUUGCUGGCCAUCUUAACUGACCAAGUUGAUGACAGCAAGUGGGCUAUUACUGCUGCCGGUGGGAUUCCUCCUCUGGUACAGUUAUUAGAGACGGGUUCUCAGAAGGCGAAAGAGGAUGCCGCUCAUGUGUUGUGGAAUUUGUGCUGUCACAGUGAAGAUAUCCGUGCAUGUGUUGAAAGUGCAGGAGCCAUCCCAGCAUUUUUAUGGCUUCUGAAAAGUGGUGGGUCAAGAGGACAAGAAGCAUCAGCCAAGGCACUCACAAAGCUUGUCCGGACAGCUGAUUCUGCUACCAUUAAUCAGUUGUUAGUUUUGCUCCUCGGUGACUCUCCAAGCUCAAAGGCCCACACUAUCAGGGUAUUGGGUCAUGCACUCAUAAUGGCCUCACACAAGGAUCUUGUGCAUAAAGGUUCAGCAGCUAAUAAAGGGCUGAGGUCUCUUGUCCAGGUUCUCAAUUCAUCAAAUGAAGAAACUCAAGAGUAUGCUGCUUCUGUCCUAGCUGAUCUAUUCAGCACAAGACAAGAUAUUUGUGAUACUCUUGCUACUGAUGAGAUCGUGCAUCCUUGCAUGAAGCUAUUGACCAGCAACACACAAGGUGUUGCAACACAAUCAGCUCGAGCAUUGGGUGCUCUGUCCCGUCCUAUGAAGACCAAACCAAGAAGCAAGAUGUCUUAUAUUGCAGAAGGUGAUGUCAAGCCCCUUAUCAGACUUGCUAAAACUUCUUCCAUUGAUGCUGUUGAAACUGCAGUUGCCGCACUUGCCAAUCUUCUCUCUGAUCCCCAGAUUGCUGCAGAAGCCCUGGCAGAAGAUGUUGUUUCAGCUUUGAUAAGAGUACUGGGUGAUGGAACUUCAGAAGGUAAGAAGAAUGCAUCCCGUGCGCUUCAUCAAUUGCUGAAGCAUUUUCCAAUAGGUGAUUUGCUCACAGGAAAUGCUCAGUGUCGUUUUGCUAUGCUUGCUAUUGUUGAUUCCUUAAAUGCAUUGGAUAUGGAUGGGACUGAUGCUGCGGAUGCUUUAGAAGUAGUUUCCCUUUUGGCUAGAACAAAACAGGGCGUGAACUUCACUUACCCUCCAUGGUCUGCCCUUGCUGAAGUUCCAUCAAGCUUAGAACCUCUUGUUCGCUGCCUGGCUGAAGGGCCUCCCCCGCUUCAGGAUAAGGCAAUAGAAAUUUUAUCUAGGCUUUGCGGUGAGCAGCCAGUUGUGCUUGGUGAUCUAUUGAUUGAAAGAUCAAGCUCUCUUGGUUCACUAGCUAACAGGGUAAUGAACUCAUCUAGUCUAGAAAUCAGAGUUGGAGGAGCUGCAUUACUUAUUUGUGCAGCAAAAGAGCACAAACAGAAGGCACUCGAAGUACUUGAUGUGUCAGGAUAUUUGGAACCAUUAACGUAUGCUUUAGUGGACAUGGUGAAGCGAAAGUCUAGCUGCUCCUUUCCAGAAAUUGAAGUCAGAACUCCUAGAGGUUUUAUUGAAAGAACUGCAUUCCAUGAAGGUGAUGAGUUUGAUGUCCCUGAUCCAGCCAUUGUUUUGGGGGGUACUGUUGCCUUGUGGUUGCUAUGCAUAAUUGGUUCCUUUCAUGCCAAGAGCAAACUCACCAUUAUGGAAGCUGGUGGUCUUGAGGUUCUAUCUGAAAAGCUCGCAGGUUACACUUCCAAUCCACAGGUAUUAACUAAUUAGCUUCAUAGUUGUAGUUCCAUGUUUAGAUACUUUUUGGUACAGAUAUUUGAAAUAUAAAUUUUUGUAGCUUACUAGAUUGGUCAUCUUUAUGAACAGGCAGAAUAUGAGGAUACAGAAGGUAUAUGGAUUAGUGCCCUGGUCCUGGCUAUUCUGUUUGAAGAUGCAAAUGUUGUUCUGUCACCUGUAACAAUGCGCAUCAUUCCUUCACUUGCUCUUCUUUUGAAAUCGGAUGAGAUGAUUGAUAGGUUCUUUGCUGCCCAGUCAAUGGCCAGUCUUGUUUCUAAUGGUAGUAAAGGAAUAAUUCUUGCCCUUGCAAAUUCGGGUGCUGUUGUUGGAUUGAUAACUCUUAUUGGUUAUGUAGAGUCCGACGUGCCUAACCUUGUUACUUUAUCAGAAGAGUUUUCUCUGGUGCGAAAUCCUGAUCAAGUUGUUUUGGAGUGCCUUUUUGAUUUUGAAGACAUAAGAGUUGGAUCAACAGCACGUAAAUCCAUACCUCUCUUGGUGGAUCUCUUGAGACCAAUGCCAGAACGGCCCGGUGCCCCUCCAAUUGCUGUUAAACUCUUGACUCGUAUCGCCAAUGGAAGCGAUACAAAUAAGUUAAUUGUGGGUGAAGCUGGAGCUCUGGAUGCUCUGACAAAGUACCUGUCUCUGAGUCCACAAGACUCCACCGAAGCCACAAUAACUGAAUUAUUCAGAAUUUUAUUUAGCAAUCCUGAUCUCAUUCGAUAUGAAGCAUCAGCUAGUUCGUUGAAUCAACUCAUAGCUGUUCUGCGACUGGGUUCAAGAAAUGCAAGAUAUAGUGCUGCCAGAGCUCUUCAUGAACUAUUUGGUGCUGAGAACAUUAGAGAUUCUGAUUUAGCCAGGCACUCAAUUCAGCCAUUGGUUGACAUGCUUAAUGCUGCAUCAGAGAGUGAACAAGAGGCUGCCCUCAUUGCAUUAAUAAAGUUGACUUCAGGAAAUUCUUCUAAAGCAGCUUUGUUGACUGAUGUGGGGGGAAACCCAAUGGAGAGUUUGUACAAAAUACUGUCUUCUGCUUCAUCCUUGGAAUUAAAGAGAACUGCUGCACAACUCUGUUGUACUUUGUUUGUUAAUACUGAAGUCAGAGGAAAUCCAAUUGCCUCAGAAUGCAUAGAGCCCCUUAUAUCACUGAUGCAUGCUGAUGCUACUACAGCUGUAGAAGCUGGAGUUUGUGCUUUUGAAAAAUUGUUGGAUGAUGAACACCGGGUGGAGCUUGCAAUGGCCUAUAAUGUUGUGGAUCUCCUUGUUGGAUUAGUUUCUGGAACAAGCAUGCAGCUCAUUGAGGCCAGUGUCUGUUCUCUCAUAAAGUUAGGGAAAGACCGGACCCCAUGCAAAUUGGAUAUGGUAAAUGCUGGAAUCAUUGAUAAAUGUCUUGAACUACUACCUGUUGCACCCAGUUCAUUAUGCUCUUCCAUAGCUGAAUUGUUCCGCAUUUUAACAAAUAGUAAUGCAAUUGCUAGAAGUUUGGCUGCUGCACAAAUUGUAGAACCUCUUUUUAUAGUUUUACAACGUCCAGAUUUCAAUUUAUGGGGACAGCACAGUGCAUUACAAGCACUAGUAAAUAUUUUGGAGAAGCCACAGAGCCUUGCAACGUUAAAGCUUACACCUAGCCAAGUGAUCGAGCCUCUUAUUUCAUUUCUGGAAUCCCCAUCUCAAGCCAUUCAGCAGCUUGGCACAGAAUUGCUAUCUCAUCUUCUUGCACAAGAACAUUUUCAGCUAGAUAUUACAACAAAAAAUGCAGUUGUUCCACUCGUUCAGCUUGCUGGAAUUGGAAUAUUAAACUUACAGCAGACAGCGGUAAAGGCAUUGGAAAUAAUCUCCACAAGCUGGCCAAAGGCAGUUGCCGAUGCUGGUGGUAUAUUUGAGCUUGGAAAGGUUAUUAUUCAAGAUGACCCUCAGCCACCUCAUGCCCUGUGGGAAUCAGCUGCUUUAGUUCUCUCAAAUGUUCUGCACUUCAAUGCUGAAUACUAUUUUAAGGUUCCUGUGGUGGUUCUUGUUAAAAUGUUGCAUUCAACAGUGGACAGCACCAUCACGGUGGCCCUCAAUGCGUUGCUUGUUCAUGAAAGGAGUGAUAAUUUAAGUGCUGAACAGAUGACUGAUGGUGGUGCUAUAGAAGCCUUGUUGGACCUUUUACGGUCUCAUCAAUGCGAAGAAGCAUCUGGAAGAUUACUUGAAGCUCUAUUUAACAAUGUCAGGAUACGACAAAUGAAGGUCUCUAAGUAUGCAAUAGCACCACUAUCACAGUAUCUGUUGGAUCCACAAACCAAAUCAGAGUCUGGAAAACUUCUUGCUGCUCUUGCUCUUGGAGACCUUUCCCAACAUGAAGGGCUUGCAAGAGCCAGAGAUUCCAUUUCUGCAUGUCGUGCAUUGGUAAGCUUGCUUGAAGAACAGCCAACAGAAGAGAUGAAAAUGGUGUCAAUUUGUGCAUUGCAAAACUUCGUCGUGAACAGCCGAACGAAUAGGCGAGCUGUCGCAGAAGCAGGGGGCAUACUGAUUAUUCAAGAACUACUACUGUCUCCCAAUGCAGAAACUGCUGGGCAGGCAGCAUUGCUUAUCAAAUUUUUGUUUUCUAAUCACACACUCCAAGAGUAUGUAUCAAAUGAACUUGUCAGAUCUUUGACAGGUAAUUCACGUUUGCAUCAUUAUUUGGUUUCGAAUGCUGAUUUUUCCCCUAUAAACUAAAAGACUGACAUAUGAUAUUCAUCAACUUCCCUUUAUUUCUUUCUUCUGUUGACUUUUUGGAUCCCAUGCCGUGUCUUGCAGCUGCAUUGGAGAGAGAGUUGUGGUCCUCAGCAACUAUUAAUGAAGAGGUCUUGAGAGCCUUACAUAUGAUAUUCAUCAACUUCCCAAAGCUCCAUAUUUCUGAAGCAGCCACUCUCUGCAUUCCCAAUUUGAUCGGGGCUCUUAAAUCUGGUAGCGACACGGCUCAGGAUGUUGUUUUGGACACCCUUUCCCUGUUGAGACAUUCUUGGUCAACCAUGCCAAUAGAUAUUGCAAAGUCUCAGGCUGUGAUUGCUGCUGAAGCCAUUCCCAUCCUACAAAUGCUCAUGAGAACCUGUCCUCCAAGUUUCCAUGAGAGAGCAGACAGCCUGUUGCAUUGCUUACCAGGUUGUUUGACGGUUACAAUUAAGCGGGGCAACAACCUUAAACAGGCCAUGGGAGGCACAAAUGCUUUUUGUCGAUUGACAAUAGGCAAUGGCCCUCCUCGACAAACCAAGGUAAUGGUUCCAUAGACUAGUUAUGUACAACAUGAAAAAAAAGAAACUGUCUAUUGCAUAACCUACAUGUUUGGAUUCAAUCAUUUUUCUUCUUUUCAUUCUUUUCCUCCAUUUACGAGGUACGGUUGAAGCCUCUUUAGAGCACCUGACAAAUCUUAGGGGUACCCUUAAUCCCAUAAACACUGGAUAUUGGAUAUUAUACUAUUGCUACUGCGACGACUUUGCAGCAUCUAAAAUCUGCAAUAGAAUUUUGAUAACAUAGCAAUGCCUGCAGGUUCCCUACAGUAUAUUGGUUUUGUGAAAAUUUACCGAUUAUUAUUUUUAUUUGAACGAAAAUUUUAUUUUAUUGGUCUAUUUAUAAAUAGAAAGAGUGAGCAUAGUGCAUUUGACUACAACUCUACUGUUUCAAAUUAAGUUUCAUGUUGUGCAUAUAAUUUGUGAUGUUUUAUUAUCCUCUCUAUGCUUACAGCUUUACGUUAUACACAAUGUUGUUUUGACACUAGGUAGUGAGCCACAGUACCUCUCCUGAGUGGAAAGAAGGCUUUACGUGGGCAUUUGAUGUGCCUCCAAAGGGACAGAAACUCCACAUCAUUUGCAAAAGCAAAAAUACCUUCGGAAAGGUAAUUACUUUUCUUUUUAGAUUUGCAAAUCGCAAGCAGGAUGAGUUAAUCAUUCUAUUUUGUUAUUUAAUUUUUAAUUAUCAUGAAUUGUUUGUGUUCGACCGAUGAGAAAGAAGUUAAAUGGUCUUGUUUCCUGUAAGGCUUUUGAUUGUUGACCUAUAGUUUUAAUAGGGUGGGUUUAAAUCUCACCAAUCAAUAGUGAACGGGCGAUAACUCUGGUUUAAAUCUUACACAUGAUUAGUAAACUUUCCUGCCAUUUUGCUUUUCAUUUCGUGAUAGUGGUUGGUGAGCCUUGUGUUUUUCUUUUGUUUCUCAGACAACUCUGGGAAGAGUGACGAUCCAAAUUGACAAAGUCGUUAGUGAAGGAGUAUACAGUGGAUUGUUUAGUCUAAAUCAUGACAGCAACAAAGAUGGGUCUUCCCGUACACUAGAAAUCGAGAUUAUCUGGUCAAACAGAAUGGCUGAUGAAGAAACAUGAACGAGUACUGAGGUCUGGUGCGGCGCAGUCUCCUCAUAAGGCCGGGAAUGCCGGAUUGAUUAUCCAAAAGGGGGAAAGGAGGCUGGCUUGCUUGUAAUUAAUUAGUUUUUGUGUUUUGAAGGUCCAGUUUUGUAGUUUGAAAUAUUUAAGCUGCUUCAGGUUAUUGUAAAUUAAAUAUGAUAUAGCUUGCGGAUUUGAUAGAGUGGAAAUGCAUUCCCACGUUUUAAGGGAAGCUAGAAGUUGAAUAGAAGUUUGUACAGGUCAGCCUGCAGGUGCUUGCAACUCAAAGAUUUUAAUAAGAUUGGAGUUCGAAUUUCAAUGGUUUCCCAGGAUUCUGCUCAAGUUUCAAAACUAGACACCAGGUUAUAUAACAUCCUGACAUCCGCCUGACGUUUGCAUUAACGGAGUAAUAGACCAAAUGCCGGCAUCUCGUAAGUACAUUGGCAACAUGAAGCAAAACCCGCAGAUUAGACGAGCACAACUACUUGGCAGCAGCAACAAGUGCCGAUCGAGCUUUUGUGAAAGUGGCUAUCAGUGAUCCGAGUUGCAACUUAUCGUUGCACCCAAAGGUCAACCUGUACCUGCAAACGUAUAAACACUGAUUAGUGUAAAUUCAGCUUAUAGCCGGUUCCAGUUUUAAGUUUUAACAGUCAAUUUGCAAGUUGAACAAAAUUACAAUCUUCGGUAUCAUAUAUUGGCAAAUAAUUUCCACAAAACGCAUUAUUUCCUUCUCCACUUUUCUGAACAAAACCAAUGCACCCUAUUGUUUAUUAUGUUGUGACCAAGUACGGCCAGUACCAUGUUGCAAUGAACUUGGCCGCCUAAUUUGUAGAGUCCAUAACGAAUAAGCAAAUGAAAACAGUGCAAGACCAAAUACUUACUCUAUGUCAGCUAAAUCAUUAAUCAACUGAACGCGAACACCUGCUGGCAUCUUAAUCUUAAAAAUGAACCUGUUCAAAGAAAGCAAUGUAGGUGAGAGACGAAGCAAACAAAAUGACAUGAGAAAAUGUAGAAAAAUGUGUAACACUUACAUGGUCACUUCUCUUACAAUAUCUAUCAAAGCCAAUCCUUUUCUUGCAUUCAUAUCAGAUAUUGCUGCAAUACAUCAAGUGUGCAAAGUAAAUACUAAAUAACUCUUCCCAGUGACAUACUGUUCCUUCCUUGAGAAUAGAAUAAGUACAUAAAUAAAUAAGACGGUUGAAUACUUUUGAAACUCCCAGCAAAUGAUUCGUUCAAAAGCCAGUAAGACAUUUGCUCAAUAUCUUUGGGCAAUGGAUUUCCUGUGCAUAGAUAUACUGCUUCUUCAGUUAUCUGCUGUGAAGCCAUAUGAGUUGACUGCAUACAUUGAAAUAGGAAUGACGUCAAGAUCUAUUCGUGAAUUUAAAAAAAAAAAAAAAAAAAAUCAAAUCCAUGGGACAGGUAAUUUGAGUUUCUGCUAAAAUAUAUAUUUUACUUCUAGAGUCCUAAUAUUGGAGACCAUUUACAAUGCUCAUCUGAAGGCAUCAAGUAAAAAAGGGUUAUUUCUCUAUCCCGCCAUUUUAUGAAUCAAUACAUUCAGAUUUUAAACAGCAAAAGAGAAAGGGGAAAAGACAAAUGUAACAUCUGUAGAGAUUAUAACCUGCAAAAUGUUCAAAGCCUUUCUCAUGUCACCAUUGCUAAGCCCUACAACUGCCGCUAAACCACUCGCAGGCACAUCAAGCCUAGUCCAAUCAAUAAAUGUCAACUUAUCAAUAUAUUUCUGACUGAAGCCAGACAUCAAAAGCUACGACCAUAAUGUUUACUAGUGAACCACAGUUCUAUAAGUUUAUUUGCCUUGACUACCCAAUGACAUGUUUAGAAUAUUUCAUUGUUCUUGAAGCAUUUCAAACCAAUAUACAGGGAAAAAUGCGGGUAAGAGAACAGUGCUUACCCUUCAGCUUCUAUAACAUGUUUAAGUCUCUCUGAGACAUGAAACUCCUCAAGUGGAGCAAAUCGAAAACGAGUACAUCUGGAUUGUAAUGCUGGAAUAAUCUUGUUGACAUGAUUGCAGAUUAGUGAGAACCUAGUGCUCUUUGUGUAUUUCUCAAUCACUGCACCAAAACAAAAGUACAGAAGAGAAAAGUAUCAGUGAAAUAACUUCGAACUGAGAAAACCUACUGCAUUAAAACAAUUUAUACCUCUUCGCAAAGCAAAUUGAGCAUCCUUUGUCAUAGCAUCUGCCUCAUCAAGCAAGACCAUUUUGACAGAUGACUUUGCACUCUCACCCCUAAACAGACAUAGUCAGACUAUAAGUUUUGAUUACAAGGCUAAUUGUUAUACAUGCUGACACACAGAAAUUGGAAUCAAAUAAGAUCACGAUGCAUAGCCAUCUUUGGGGGUCUGAAGUCUUAUAAGGGAGAUAUAUUCAUUAGAGCUGGAAAACAACCAGCAGGCCAAACCCAGAUUUUUAAGUCCGGACAUGAGGUUUGACUAUUAAGUAUGAAUCAUAGUUCUAAUAGUAAUCUAUUUCAUAUAUUACGUUCUCCAGAUACUAGAAUGAAUUUCCGACGAAGUAAAACCAUCUCUAUCAAGAUGACAGAUCCAUUCUCUGUACUAUCCAUAGGAUCAUUUAUACCAAGUCACACUCAUUAAAAUGGCCGUGAUCUGUCAUUACGUGCGCGACUAUCUCCAUUAUAGAAAUAAAAAAAGGAAAAGAAGGAACAAAUUCGUUAAUAAAUACUAGAAACAAAGCGUAGGCUUUCUACAUAUGUAUCGUUCAAAAACAACGAUUUUUUAUCAGCUGUAGCAAAGAAAUAAACUUCAUAAAAGUCGACAUAUGAAGAAAUAGGUAUGCCUAGAUACUUUAUUAUUCUAUGGAUAAAGGAUCUAAUUGAUAGAGAAGAAGCUCCGUAAAGAUCAAUUCGCGAGGUUUUGGUCCGAUACAAUAAGAACUGCUUGCUUAUGUCAUGAUCUGAGAUAAAAGUUAGGAAUCCACUUAUGUAAUAGAGUUGAUACCCUAAGGUAUUGAGCAACGAUGUAGCCUCAGAACCCAAAGAUAGUAAGUCUUUUCCUUCUUAUGAGGGAAGGUCUUUUUCAAAGAUUCUAUAUCAAUUUAUAUAUGAAACCGAGAUAGUUACCUUUCAAAAAAAAUUAGAAUGAUAGUGAAACGUAGAAAAAGCAUAACACGAGUUAUUUGGCAUAUUUUGAUCUCCUAUAUAUCCACUUCAUGUGGUACUCAUGGUAUAAAAUAUUGAUGAUAUCGGAAAUAUCGGUAGUCCA